GGGGGUCAUCACAGACAAACAUGACAUUAAAUCGUUAUCACUGAACUAGUAUAUGUAUUGUUUAGGGCCAGUGAAGGACGCCUCGGGUGCGGGAAUUUUUCGCUGCAUUGAAGACCUGUUGGUGACCUUCUGCUGUUGUAUGUUUUUCUAUGGUCGGGUUGUUGUCUCUUUGACACAUUCCCCAUUUCCAUUCUCCAUUCUCAAUUUUAUUAUACGAACAAGAACAAACAGCUCUACGUUGCUUUGACAUUUAUCAAUUUUCAGGAAACAUUGCGAAAAAUGAUCUUCAAUAUUUCGAAAACAUGGAAUAAAAUUG
RNAcentral lists this long non-coding RNA (316 nucleotides) under Mytilus galloprovincialis (Mediterranean mussel). Lineage: Eukaryota; Metazoa; Mollusca; Bivalvia; Mytilida; Mytilidae. The record is from RNAcentral.